CUAAACAACAUACUUUCCAUUAUAUGUUUAAUAUAUUUUGAAUUGCCAUCUGUGUUUUCCUUUGCAUAGGCUAAAUAAAGGUAUUUCCACCGUAAAUUGGUGCAUUAAAGUGUAUAAAAAUGACAAAAUUA
Molecule: long non-coding RNA, 131 nt
Organism: Etheostoma spectabile (orangethroat darter)
Lineage: Eukaryota; Metazoa; Chordata; Actinopteri; Perciformes; Percidae
Exons: 3
Source: RefSeq, a predicted model, not a curated record